CGGGGUGAGUAACGCGUGGAUAACCUGCCUCACACUGGGGGAUAACAGUUAGAAAUGACUGCUAAUACCGCAUAAGCGCACAGUACCGCAUGGUACAGUGUGGAAAACUCCGGUGGUGUGAGAUGGAUCCGCGUCUGAUUAGCCAGUUGGCGGGGUAACGGCCCACCAAAGCGACGAUCAGUAGCCGACCUGAGAGGGUGACCGGCCACAUUGGGACUGAGACACGGCCCAA
Molecule: ribosomal RNA, 232 nt
Filed under: uncultured bacterium
Lineage: Bacteria
Description: partial 16S ribosomal RNA
Rfam family: Bacterial small subunit ribosomal RNA
Source: RNAcentral